AAGUCGUAACAAGGUUUCCGUAGGUGAACCUGCGGAAGGAUCAUUACAAAUUAUAGCGAACCUCGCGUUUCGCGAGGUCUUGCGUCCAUUUUAUAUUUAAAACAUCCCACUCUUUAAAAAUAUUUAUUAUCUAAUGAUAAAAAUAAAAAAGAUCACUUUCAACAACGGAUCUCUUGGCUCUC
RNAcentral lists this unclassified non-coding RNA (182 nucleotides) under fungal sp. RNAcentral's name for it is "partial internal transcribed spacer region". The stretch from base 1 to 46 matches the Rfam family "Eukaryotic small subunit ribosomal RNA", at positions 1786 to 1831 of the family's 1831-position model. The record is from RNAcentral. Lineage: Eukaryota; Fungi.